RNAcentral lists this ribosomal RNA (247 nucleotides) under uncultured bacterium. Its description in RNAcentral is "partial 16S ribosomal RNA". It matches the Rfam family "Bacterial small subunit ribosomal RNA", at positions 86 to 334 of the family's 1533-position model. The record is from RNAcentral.
AGAUGGCGACCGACGCACGGGUGAGUAACACGUAUCCAACCUGCCGAUAACUCGGGGAUAGCCUUUCGAAAGAAAGAUUAAUACCCGAUGGCAUAAUUAGACCGCAUGGUCUUAUUAUUAAAGAAUUUCGGUUAUCGAUGGGGAUGCGUUCCAUUAGGCAGUUGGUGAGGUAACGGCUCACCAAACCUUCGAUGGAUAGGGGUUCUGAGAGGAAGGUCCCCCACAUUGGAACUGAGACACGGUCCAA